CUACGUGCCAGCAGCCGCGGUAAUACAUAGGUCGCAAGCGUUAUCCGGAAUUAUUGGGCGUAAAGCGUUCGUAGGCUGUUUAUUAAGUCUGGAGUCAAAUCCCAGGGCUCAACCCUGGCUCGCUUUGGAUACUGGUAAACUAGAGUUGGAUAGAGGUAAGCGGAAUUCCAUGUGAAGCGGUGAAAUGCGUAGAUAUAUGGAAGAACACCAAAGGCGAAGGCAGCUUACUGGGUYUAUACUGACGCUGAGGGACGAAAGCGUGGGGAGCAAACAGGAUUAGAUACCCUGGUAGUCCACGCCGUAAACGAUGAUCAUUAGUCGGUGGGAGCCACUGACGCAGCUAACGCAUUAAAUGAUCCGCCUGAGUAGUAUGCUCGCAAGAGUGAAACUUAAAGGAAUUGACGGGGACCCGCACAAGCGGUGGAGCAUGUGGUUUAAUUUGAGGAUACGCGGAGAACCUUACCCACUCUUGACAUCCUUUGCAAAGCUAUAGAGAUA
This 498-nucleotide ribosomal RNA is filed under the name uncultured bacterium. RNAcentral's name for it is "bacterial SSU rRNA". It matches the Rfam family "Bacterial small subunit ribosomal RNA", at positions 501 to 1008 of the family's 1533-position model. The record is from RNAcentral.